GUCAGAAUGGUCGAGUGGUCUAAGACACCGGACUCAAGUUGAUAUAACCUUCUUAGGUAGUGAGAACUGUGGUCUCCAGCUGGAGGCGUAGGUUCAAAUCCAACUUUUGACA
Non-coding RNA from Danio rerio (zebrafish), 112 nucleotides. NCBI's taxonomy places the organism in Eukaryota, Metazoa, Chordata, Actinopteri, Cypriniformes, Danionidae. The record is from Rfam.